GUGGGGAAUAUUGCACAAUGGGGGAAACCCAGAUGCAGCAACGCCGCGUGAAGGAAGAAGUAUUUCGGUAUGUAAACUUCUAUCAGCAGGGAAGAAAAUGACGGUACCUGACUAAGAAGCCCCGGCUAACUACGUGCCAGCAGCCGCGGUAAUACGUAGGGGGCAAGCGUUAUCCGGAUUUACUGGGUGUAAAGGGUGCGUAGGUGGUAUGGCAAGUCAGAUGUGAAAGCGCGGGGCCCAACCUCGGGACUGCAUUUGAAACUGCCAGACUAGAGUGCAGGAGAGGGAAGUGGAAUUCCUAGUGUAGCGGUGAAAUGCGUAGAUAUUAGGAAGAACACCAGUGGCGAAGGCGGCUUACUGGACUGUAACUGACACUGAGGCUCGAAAGCGUGGGGAGCAAACAGGAUUAGAAACCCCGGUAGUCC
Molecule: ribosomal RNA, 425 nt
Filed under: uncultured bacterium
Lineage: Bacteria
Description: partial 16S ribosomal RNA
Rfam family: Bacterial small subunit ribosomal RNA
Source: RNAcentral